CCCGGUGUUGAUAUACUAGUAUGAUAAAGUGUUCAUUGUAUAUCCUCAUAGUUCUCGUACAUAUGGAAAAUAAUAAUUUCAUGCUGGGCUUGAUUUUGAUACAAAUUAUUUGACAAUUAAAGAUACGUUAAUAGCAUUUGUCUACGUUACUGUUUUCUUUAGGUGACAUGUUUAUGGCCUAAUUAACACCUCUGUUGGUCUUUAAUCUGUUGAUAACUUUAUCUUGGGUAAAUUAGUGUUUACACAACGAUUAACUUGGGUCAAUGUUUACUUUGCAAUUUCCUUCAAUCCAGACCCUUACUUUCUAACGGCUUCAAUUUUUCAUUUUUUUUUU
RNAcentral lists this long non-coding RNA (334 nucleotides) under Mytilus galloprovincialis (Mediterranean mussel). Lineage: Eukaryota; Metazoa; Mollusca; Bivalvia; Mytilida; Mytilidae. The record is from RNAcentral.